This is a long non-coding RNA of Notothenia coriiceps (black rockcod), 655 nucleotides long. RefSeq lists it as uncharacterized. The record is from RefSeq and is a predicted model, not a curated record. The transcript has 2 exons. NCBI's taxonomy places the organism in Eukaryota, Metazoa, Chordata, Actinopteri, Perciformes, Nototheniidae.
GUGUGUGUGUGUGUGUGUGUGUGUGUCUGACCAAUUGCAAUGAUUUACUGUGUUGCCCUGUCUUUUUCACAGACGGAGGUAAAUUGGCCGCUGCCAGGAAAGCUCCAGCUGGAAUGAGGAGAAGAAGGAAGAUGGUUAGGCGUCACCACAAGCCAAGGCAGUCAAUCCAAUAGAGAGAAAAGACCUCUGGCUCACCGCAGGGACUGAAUGCAUCUCCAGUGCUCCUGGUAGAGUGCUGGAGGAUAAAACAAACUGUGUACCAAUAGAGAGAGAGAUCAAAUCAAUCUAGCAUUUGUUGUCGAAAACACCAGUAAAAAGGAUUGUUUACUAUUCCACAUGAACCAUACUUGUUAUGGAAUGGUAUGUUAUAGUAUUGCAUUUCCAAUAGGAAAAAUAGCAUUUAAGUACAAGGGAAAUAUGGACUUUUACCAUGAGAUAGAUGGUGUGUCAGGUGAAAUAUAUUUACCACUGAGAGAUAUUUUUUAUGUCAAUUUAAAACAGAUGGCUUGGGAAGACUGUUGUUUGCUUUUUAUAGUGCUCGAAUUUUGUACAAUUUAUGCAUUUUUAAGAAUAUACCAAAAUGAAAUCCUGUUUUUUUUAACCUCUGUAAAUUAUCACAUGCUGAUUAAAAAAUAAAUUUCAUUUGUAUACUGUU